AUUGAACGCUGGCGGCAUGCUUUACACAUGCAAGUCGAACGGUAACAGGCCUUCGGGUGCUGACGAGUGGCGAACGGGUGCGUAAUGCAUCGGAACGUACCCAGAGGUGGGGGAUAACGCAGCGAAAGCUGUGCUAAUACCGCAUGUGAUCUGAGGAUGAAAGCGGGGGACCGAGCAGCAAUGUUUGGCCUCGCGCCUUUGGAGCGGCCGAUGUCGGAUUAGCUAGUUGGGGGGGUAAAGGCCUACCAAGGCGACGAUCCGUAGCUGGUCUGAGAGGACGACCAGCCACACUGGGACUGAGACGCGGCCCAGACUCCUACGGGAGGCAGCAGUGGGGAAUUUUGGACAAUGGGCGCAAGCCUGGUCCAGCAAUGCCGCGUGCGGGAAGAAGGCCUUCGGGUUGUAAACCGCUUUUGGCAGGAACGAAACGGUGUCCGCUAAUACCGGGCGCUAAUGACGGUACCUGCAGAAUAAGCACCGGCUAACUACGUG
This 492-nucleotide ribosomal RNA is filed under the name uncultured bacterium. RNAcentral's name for it is "partial 16S ribosomal RNA". It matches the Rfam family "Bacterial small subunit ribosomal RNA", at positions 29 to 507 of the family's 1533-position model. The record is from RNAcentral.